This 488-nucleotide long non-coding RNA is filed under the name Solanum tuberosum (potato). RNAcentral's name for it is "long non-coding RNA (STUB_LNC004225)". Lineage: Eukaryota; Viridiplantae; Streptophyta; Magnoliopsida; Solanales; Solanaceae. The record is from RNAcentral.
AGGAUUAUGUUUCUAUUGAAAAUAAUUCAACAAGGAAGCCUCUGAAUAAAGCUUAGUGAGAUUAGGGUAAGGUUCGUUUCUGAAAUCUAACUUGUGAGAUUGCACGGUAUAUUGUUGGCUUGUUUUAUUUUUCCUAAAGGCCAAAUAACUUGCCCACACCUAUCCCAAGUUUCUUUCUCUGCAUGAAUCAAGUUCUUGAAUAUGACCAUUCCAACUGAGGGCUAAUCAUAGAUCUACUAUGAUUUUUUUUAAUAUCUUUUAUUUUAUUUUUGGUUCAGUUUUUGGGAGCUUUAUGUUGAGUCACUCCAAGAAUAGAAUCAGCAGCUCAUCUCAUGUUUUAGGAACCAAAUGAGGAAUCACAAGUCGAUGGACUUGAGCAUUCUUUCUCAUUUUGACACUCUAUCUGAGUCUGUUUCAUUAACCCUUCAACUCUAUUUUUAUGUAUCAUUUAAACACAAAAUACUAAUUUUAUGAUUUCUUUAUUUUUA